CAGUCGCCGCGGUAAAACGAAGGGUGCAAGCGUUAAUCGGAAUUACUGGGCGUAAAGCGUGCGUAGGUGGUGGUUUAAGUCCGUUGUGAAAGCCCUGGGCUCAACCUGGGAAUUGCAGUGGAUACUGGGUCACUAGAGUGUGGUAGAGGAUAGUGGAAUUUCCGGUGUAGCAGUGAAAUGCGUAGAGAUCGGAAGGAACAUCUGUGGCGAAGGCGACUAUCUGGGCCAACACUGACACUGAGGCACGAAAGCGUGGGGAGCAAACAGGAUUAGAUACCCCAGUAGUCCCUGUCUCUUAUAA
This 301-nucleotide ribosomal RNA is filed under the name uncultured bacterium. Its description in RNAcentral is "partial 16S ribosomal RNA". It matches the Rfam family "Bacterial small subunit ribosomal RNA", at positions 509 to 809 of the family's 1533-position model. The record is from RNAcentral.